This 498-nucleotide ribosomal RNA is filed under the name uncultured bacterium. RNAcentral's name for it is "partial 16S ribosomal RNA". It matches the Rfam family "Bacterial small subunit ribosomal RNA", at positions 30 to 523 of the family's 1533-position model. The record is from RNAcentral.
AUUGAACGCUGGCGGCAUGCCUUACACAUGCAAGUCGAACGGUAACAGGUCUUCGGAUGCUGACGAGUGGCGAACGGGUGAGUAAUACAUCGGAACGUGCCUAGUAGUGGGGGAUAACUACUCGAAAAAGUGGCUAAUACCGCAUGAGAUCUACGGAUGAAAGCAGGGGAUCGCAAGACCUUGUGCUACUAGAGCGGCCGAUGGCAGAUUAGGUAGUUGGUGGGAUAAAAGCUUACCAAGCCGACGAUCUGUAGCUGGGCUGAGAGGACGAUCAGCCAAACUGGGACUGAGACACGGCCCAGACUCCUACGGGAGGCAGCAGUGGGGAAUUUUGGACAAUGGGCGAAAGCCUGAUCCAGCAAUGCCGCAUGCAGGAUGAAGGCCUUCGGGUUGUAAACUGCUUUUGUACGGAACGAAAAGCCCCGGGUUAAUACCCUGGGGUCAUGACGGUACCGUAAGAAUAAGCACCGGCUAACUACGUGCCAGCCGCCGCCGUAA